CAAGACAGAGCAGGUGUGAGAGCUGAGCAUCCUCCCCUUGCUGUGCUCCUCUGGUCUCCAAGGCACCCUCCCCAUGCGCUGCUUCCUUCCACUUACCGCCCUCGCACGGCACCACAUCCUGAGCUCUGCUUGUUCCCUCUUCAGACUGGCAGGUGGUUAUAGAGGUGUUUGGGGUGUCAGCUCUGAAAUGCUAAAAAUAAAACCAGGCUUUCUAUCCUGGGAUGUCUCAUUAGUUUGCUUACAAAUGAGUCCCCCUGCAGUUUUUCAGCAAUUGGCUAACAAGCUCUAAUUUGAGCGUUUGGGCUGGACCUUGGCUCAGUGGGAGCAGACGCGGAGCAGACGCCUUCUCGGAGCUGCCUGUUUGGGGAAGCUGGUCGUUUCCACUCUAGCUCAGCCUCCCAGAACAGGGAAGCUGCAGGAAAGUUGACAAAAGCACAGCAAAGCAGGGAGAGCCUCCUCGGUAGAGAGCAACGACCAGGUAUUUGGCUAGAAGUUAUCACUGAUACGUUUCCAGAACACAUGGAGGCCAAGGCAGACAAAAGUAAAGAUGGAAACCAGACCAGUAAAUAAGUCCUUUGAUGAACUUCUGAGUCUCUACAGAUGAAGGCAAAGCUCCCUCACAGUUGCAGGCAACGUCUCAUCUUUUGUCACUUCUGGCAUGACACUGCACAGCCACAGCCAGUACGGUAUCUCUGCCUUUGCCCAUGUCCUGCCUUCUUUCUCCCUGGUCGGUAUCUCCUCACCUCAACCAGCUUGGCCAGCUCCUUGGUCAUUGGGGUUGCACCCACCCAGGCAUGUGCCUGGCUCCGCACAACCUCAGAAGCUCUCAGUACAGUGCAGGACCAGAGGUUGAAACCAAUGAAAGGUUGUUAAAUAAAGAGAAAAUGUUUAAUGCUGAGAACAAAGACUAGGAAAGAGAUGUCUAAUAAGAAAUUUUACAGUGAAAUACCAUGUGUUGUGCUCUGUAACUUCGUCUCCAUCUCCCUAACAUAGUGUUUAGUGAAAUCUACAGUGCUCACUCAUGCUUUGUGGAGUCUGGGGGUGAAAGCUUGUAGAUAUCCAACAUUUGCAUAACACUAGAAAGUCCACUUUGCCCUCUCCGAGAAAAUCUAGUGAUCCUGCUGUUUAUAUCUGAUUCAGAUCCCUCAAUAAGAGUUCUCUUGGUCUCAUUUUCAUACUGAUCCUAAGAAGCAUUCACUAACUAGGCUGUACCUACCUAGUACAGCUCUGUCCAUAUGGUAGAUCUGCAAUAGAUUCUUGGGAUCUUAUGGUAAUUAGAUAGCACGCCUAUUCUGGAAUAGUGGC
RNAcentral lists this long non-coding RNA (1305 nucleotides) under Homo sapiens (human). Its description in RNAcentral is "HSALNT0199266". Lineage: Eukaryota; Metazoa; Chordata; Mammalia; Primates; Hominidae. The record is from RNAcentral.